This 4389-nucleotide long non-coding RNA is filed under the name Sus scrofa (pig). RNAcentral describes it as "lncRNA (ENSSSCG00000053727.1)". The record is from RNAcentral. Lineage: Eukaryota; Metazoa; Chordata; Mammalia; Artiodactyla; Suidae.
AAUGGUCCUAGUAUUCUUAUUCAAAUCAAUUGACCAUAUGUGUAUGGGUUUAUUUUUUAACAUUGAAUUCUGUCCCAUUGGUCCAAAUGUCUGUACUUAUGCCAGUAUCACACUAUCUUCAUUACUAUAGCUUUGUACUGUAGCUUGAUUACUGUAGCUUAGAAAUCAGGACAUUUCUCAAAAGUCUUCCACUUGUAUCCUUUCCCAGAUUGGUUUGGCUAUUCAGGAUCCCUUGCCUUUCCAUGUUAGUUUUGGGAUAAUCUUGCUCAUUUCUAUGAGAAAAGUAGAUGGAAUUUUGAUUGGAAUUGUACUGACUUGUAGAUCAAUUUGGGAAGUAUUGCCAUGUUAGCAAUAUAAAGUCUUCCAAUCCAUCAACACAGGCUGUGUUUUCAUUUUCAUGUAUGGAUGGAAAGAAGAUCCAUCCAUUAGAUCUUUUUUCAUUACUUUCAACAAUGUUUUAUAGCUUAUAUUUCUCUAAUUCCUCUUUACCUUUCUCCAUAUGGCCAAUUUGAGAACCUGCUGCUGCUUGUCCUGGGAAUGUAAUAAUUAUUCAUUCAUUGUACUCAUCCGUCUUGUUGUCAAGAAGUAGUUGUGGAAGACAUAGAGGCAUUGAGGGGCUGAGCAGACAUGGUGAAAGGAAAAGAAAAUUUCAGAUAAAAACCAAGAAAUAGGAAAUGGAAUUCUGCUUAUGCUUGAAACGACUUAAGUAGUUCACAAAUAAAUAAUAACAACAUCAACUACUUGAAAUUAACAUUUUCUUGAAUUAACAACUAUCUUUUUUACAAACUCAUUCUUGAGAAUUAAAUUCAAUGCUAAUACUGCUCUUGCUUAGAUAAUUAUUAAACCUCUUGUUUUAGAAUUGCAUUCAAGGACCUUAGUAUGGUCCAAGGAAUGCUAUCAUGGUGGUGGUGUUUUCAGAAGAUAAUUACUUCUCUAUUAAAAUAGGAAAUGUAAUUAUAAUGUUAAUGUUUGGAUAAGGAUAAGGAUAAUGUUACUAUCCUAAUGAAAGUUGGAAAUUAUAGUGUUAAUUUAUUGAGAUAUUUACUUAUGCUUAAUUCUAGGGAUCUUUUUUUCCUCUGCAGUUCCUAGAGAGUAGAUAGGCUCUUUUUGUUCUUUUGUCUUAGGGGAGCCUUUUGUUCACUGAACAAGGUUUCCUGUACACAAACUUUCUCUCUAGUUUCGGUGUGUUUGUAUUUUGAAAGAGUGGGCUCCUUAAUGAUAUUAAAGUGUACUGGUGAUGGAGAGGCAGGAGGAAACUAGAAGGACUCAAAGUAAGAAGUAAUCACAAACUGGGAGGUGGACAAAAACAUUCAGAUUUUUCUGAGAGUUGGGACCCAUGAUUUAUUCCUCUAAGAGUGACCCACACAGUUAACCAAUUCCUUCCUGAUAGCAGGAGGCAUAGUUUCAUGUGGAGACUGGGCCUUGGAUAUUUAUGAUUCCAGCCUUGGUCAAGAUUCCUGUGCCUGGUGAAAACAGAGUUGUUGGAUAUGAAGGGACCAUGAGAGCAUGAGUUAAGACAGUAUUAGGGUUACUAGUGUGUCUAAAGACCCGAGAGAACCAAUGAACAUUUGUUCUAUGUAGGAUUUCUGAGUUCUGCUUAUGAUUGUGGUGGGGGUAGGAACGGUAUGGGAAGAAACCUCCAAUCAUAACUAGCAUUUUACAGCAUCCCAUGCAGUUAAGUAUUCUGAGAUAGAUUUAAUUAAAUUUAAGGAAAAUAAAGUAAUGUGACAUAUCUGGCAUAAGUACUUCAUAGAAUAAGAUUCACCCCCUUGAAUACUGGUUCUGAUGUAAGUUCCACACUAGGAGCUCUGCAAUUCUAUUAAACCAUCGUGAAAUAAAACAGUUUCUUCAGGGGGGCGACUUUGAAGUGCAACCUUCAUUUGGAUAUAACUUUUCAUCUAUGCGUAAUAAUUCUAUAAUGACCUGGUGUUCACAUGGACAAGAUUACAUGUAGUUUAGAGUGUGGUGCAGUUUUAGAGAUGUUGGUAGUGAGGUGAGUCAUAAUUCCUUUAGGUCUGGCUUCUCUGACCUUUAGUGAUUCCUGCUCCUUGGAGCCAAACAAGGGUUUUCUGGAGCACAUAGUAUGAAAACUGUGGUUCUCUCUUCCUUAUUAUUAAUCACUCAAGGCAAAGUUUAACUUCAGAUACAGUUUUACAUUAAGCUUUCCAAAUAUCACAUUAAUAAGAAAAUCAUAAAUUUGUAUUUUUUUGUUUUUGUAAUUAAAGUAUAGUUGAUUUACAAUAUUAUGUCAUUUCUUCUGUACAGCGGAGUGACCCAUACAUAUAUAUAUACACAUGUAUAUAUAUAUACAUAUUCGUUGAAAAUCAUAAAUUUCAUAGCUAAACAGAAAAAAUUUUAUCAUUAUGCUCCUUAGUCUCAGCCUUGCAAAUCUAUCUAAUCUGCCCAUACCUCAUGCCAUAAGGGCACAUAAAGGACAAAAGCCAAUUAUGUUUGACUCUGUGGUAUUUCUUCAUAGGCUUCAACCUGUUGUGUUUUGCUCUUUUCUCACUGGCUCUUCAGUGCCUUUUAUCCUUUGAAUCAAUUGUUGGCCUUCUUUGAUUUUGUGAUCUUUGACUGUGUGAGCUGGAUCCACUCCCGUUGGACUCUCUUCCUUUCCCAAUCCAUGUGAUUCAAAAUGUCAUAUUCUUGCUAGCUUUUAGUGCUUUCAUCCAGAAGAGAUAGUCGGCCUACUAGUUUGGGUUCUCAAGGAUGUACACUAUCUUCUGGGCUAGCCCCAACCUAACAGUCACAAUUGGAUACAUCCAUUUACUAAGCCAUCCAUGCUUCUGUAUAGUCUGCCUAUUUGCAAGGUAGACUUAGGGAGGCAUAAAUAAAUGUACAAAAAUUCAGAAUCAAAGUACUUUGGAGAAAAAAGGACAAAUUAUUCUAGAAAAUCUAGACUAAAGAAAACUAUAAAUUGAAUUGUGUCCCCCAAACUGCAUAUUUUGAAGUUCGUAACCCCGGUACCUCAGAGUGUGACCUUACUUGGAAAUAGAGCUGUUGCAGAUGUAAUUUAGAUGAGGUCAUACUGGAGUAGAGUGGGCCCCUAAUUUAAUAUGACUGGUGUCCUUAUAAAAAGGGCAAAUUUGAAUACAGACACUCACAUAGAAAGAAUGCCAUGUAAAUAGGAAGGCAGAGAUUAGGAUGCUGCCUCAACCAAGGGAACACCAGAAGCCAGGGGAGAGGCCUGGAACAGUCUUCCUCACUGUCUUUAGAAAGGACCAGCUCUGCCAAUACCUUGAUCUCAGACUUCUAGCCUCCAAACUGUGGGGCCUAUACAUUCUGUGGUUUGUGACCGUUUGUUAUGGCAUCCCUAGCAAAGUAAUACAUGAUCCUAAAUGUAAAAUCUAUUUUUCUACUUAGACGACCUCACUUCUUUUUCAAAAUUAUAUUUUAAACUUGAUUGGUGGUGUCAUAUAUGACAUAGGUUUUUCUUAACCAUGCAAAUUUCAUGAUGAAUACUUCACUAAUUUUCCACAUUUUGAAAUAUAAACCAGACUGGCAUAUAUGGGAUAUGUAAUUGCCCUCUCAGUCCAUAAGCUCCACCAUCUUCAUACACAAAAUGCUUGCCAAGCAAAUUAAAUUUACAGAUACACCAUUUUGAGCUUAUUUUAUUCUAAUUUCCCUUAUUUAGUGGUUUGACUUUGACUUCACCCUGAUUUUCAUUCCUUAAAUGGGAGAAAAUUUGGCAUGGCUCCCAGUUAUAUUUGGCCUUUUGCAAGUUGCCUCCUUAGAGCUUCCUUCCUCUCCUCCCUCCUACUCCCUCCAAUUAAUUCAGUAGUAGCUUAUUAACUACUGUUGCCGCAAUCUCUGUACAUUUUCUUCAACAACUACUUCUAGGGCAGCCAUGUUAACCAGGCACUGGGAAUAUAGCAAUCCACAAGAUAUAAACAGUUCUUGGAAAUAACCCUUGUGCACUGUGUUGAGGUUUACAAAAGAACAAAAGUAUAAUAUUUUUGUGGCUUAAAUUUUUGUGCUGUCUCCUUUUUACUCUAAAUGAUUUUGGUUGUUUUAAUGUUGUACCAAUUCAGACAUGAUUAUGUAUCUUUUAUAUAUAUACCAAGGAGAUUCUGACACCCUGGGUAUAUAAAAUUAUGGAAUCAAAAAAAGUUUCUUCCAGGCUCAUAUUCCUAAUAUCCAAGUAAUCCAGAAACUCUCCUCUUAUUAAAAUUUUUAGGAGUUCUUGUCAUGGCUCAGUGGUUAAUGAAUCUAAGAACUAUGAGGUUUUGGGUUCGAUCCCUGGCCUCGCUCAGUGGGUUAAGGAUCUGGCAUUGCCGUGGGUUGUGGUGUAGGUCUCAGAUGCAGCUCGGAUCCUGCGUUGCUAUGGCUCUGGUGAAGGCCAGCAGCUACAGCUCCGAUUAGACCCCUAGCCUGGGAACCUCCAUAUGC